CAUUGGGCGGGCCGGGUCAAAGCUAAAACCUUCUGCCCACUUCUCGGGCCGGAAUUUUUGUGCCCAAACCUGCCCAAAAUAAUCGGUUCGUGCGGGCUUUUCGAGCCAUUUUUCGGGCCGGGCCUAAAAAAAACUAAAAAUGCAUAAAAAAAAGCAUUCCCAAACCCGCCCAAAAAAAAUAAAUUUUCGGGCAGGGCCGGGCCCAACCCGAUUUUGAGACAAAAAUUUCUGCACAAAAUCGGGCCGGGCUAACUUUGAUCACCUCUAAUUUAUCCCCAAAAUUUGCCCUCACAAAGUUAAUAAGACAAAAUGUUAGUUUUCUCCUAAUUUUCCUUUUCUUUUCCCUUUUCUUUUCUCCAUUCUUUUUCCUUUUUCCCUUUUGUUUACUUGCCGUAGGAUUUUGGGUGGUGAAUUCAUGAAGUGUUGCUGCUGUCCACGUGGCACGAGCUGCCACCCUUGGACGUCCGACCACCGCCGGCUAUCGAUCACCUUACCGGCGACCUGCUAUCGACACACAACCACCCCCACCGAGACUUAGUUCGGGAAUUAUUCUAGUGUAUACGGCUACUUUAAGAGCUUAUUCGAGCCCUACAUACGACGACCCAUUUCAAAUGACGAGUAGUGGGGACAAAGUAAAGAGAAGCUUUUCAGGUGAUGAAGCAUAUCCAUGUUGGGGAAUGAGUGAAGAGUGAAUCUUGCUUAACUUAUAUAAGAAUAUGAUAUGUUUUAUUUGCUUUAAUUAUUAUUUAUUUACUUGUGAGACUAACGCAAUGUUUUAAAUAUUUGAUUUGGGUUUUGAAAGGGCCUACAAGGGUUCCAAGUUG
Long non-coding RNA from Chenopodium quinoa (quinoa), 824 nucleotides. RefSeq lists it as uncharacterized. Lineage: Eukaryota; Viridiplantae; Streptophyta; Magnoliopsida; Caryophyllales; Amaranthaceae. The record is from RefSeq and is a predicted model, not a curated record. The transcript has 3 exons.